GACGAACGCUGGCGGCGUGCUUAACACAUGCAAGUCGUACGACAGCAUUUCCUUUAGGUGUGUUUGGAGUGGCGAACGGGUGAGUAACACGUGAGUGACCUGCCCUUCACUUUGGGAUAACGUGCGGAAACGUGCGCUAAUACCAAAUAUUCGCAUUUCUGCUGCAUGGUGGGGUGUGGAAAGGGGCCUUCGGGUUCGUGGUGGGGGAGUGGGCGUCGCGGCCUAUCGAGCNGUGUUGGUUGGGUGAUGGCCUACCAAGGCGUGGACGGGUAGCCGGCCU
Molecule: ribosomal RNA, 280 nt
Filed under: uncultured bacterium
Lineage: Bacteria
Description: partial 16S ribosomal RNA
Rfam family: Bacterial small subunit ribosomal RNA
Source: RNAcentral